AAAAGCCUUCUUUACACUGCGCCGCUGAUAUGCCGACUGAUCUAUAGGAGCAGCCAUAUCCCUUCUUGGGAAGAUACUGAUUGGAAUAAUAAUUGUCUAAUUCAUUGUAUUGCUUCCUAAUACAAGCUACGUUUUACUAUCCUGUUUUUCCAUAUUCCAUCGAGGUCAAGGUGGACUUUUCAGAACCACACCAUCAAUGGCUGUGACGUGUGACUUUUUCCUAUCCUGAAUGCUGCAUUGUUGAAGAUAAAGAAACUGUGAUCCAAGUCACUUGGAUGGAACAAGAGGAAGAAUCUCAUGGAAGUUUACUGCAACAUAUAUACUCUCGAUGAAUAU
Molecule: long non-coding RNA, 336 nt
Organism: Spea bombifrons (plains spadefoot toad)
Lineage: Eukaryota; Metazoa; Chordata; Amphibia; Anura; Pelobatidae
Exons: 3
Source: RefSeq, a predicted model, not a curated record